GGCAGUGUGGUGCAGUGGUUUGAGCAUUGGACUAUUACUCUGGAGAUCAGGGUUUGAUUCCCCACUUGGCCU
This 72-nucleotide transfer RNA is filed under the name Phrynosoma platyrhinos (Desert horned lizard). RNAcentral describes it as "tRNA-OTHER". The record is from RNAcentral. Lineage: Eukaryota; Metazoa; Chordata; Lepidosauria; Squamata; Phrynosomatidae.